CAGCGACAGGGGUGCAACCUUUGUCCUGAGUUUGUUGCGGGGCCUGUCUUGUUUACAAGUUCUGCCGUCAAGAUCUUAUUUCGGAAAACGUAUCCACUCUAAAGUUUUUACAUAUGUGAGUUCUGUUUGAAUAGCUGCUAGAAUUUUUCAGUUUUAUAGGGAUUGUUGUAAUACGAGUGUUAUUAUUAUGUUCUUUCUUAAGAUUGCUCGACAUAUAAUUGUGCGUCUGGCAGCCGGGCGGCAAGUGUCAAAAUCGUGUUCGCUUACUCCGUAAAUUAUCCCAGAAACAAGUCGUAAACUUCUACACUAUUUAUGAUAAACGUAACUGAAGGAGCUUAACAUGAUAAAUAAACAUGCUGUGGGCAUGUUCGUAUUUUUUGGCCUUUCACGAACUUUAACUGUGGGCAUCCCAUUGGCCUCCAUUCGGGUAGCGUGCCACAUGUCUGUAUAGCGGGUGUUGGUGUUCACGGACUAUGCAGAUAAUUAUUAUUAUGCCUUGAAUCAGCCUUACGGAGUAAUCGCAGGUUUUUAUUACCUAAGCCAUCAAUUAAUUCCGCCUAGUCAAGUCACGCAAGUCUGCGCAGCCAUAGGGACAGGCCGGGAUUUCGAGCGACUUCAAGAAACGAAUCUGUGCACAGACAUGAACCAAGAUCUUGACAUGAACAACGCCAUAUAGACGUGCUGGGCGAGUCCAUAUUACACCAUACGUACGUACGUAGGGUCAAGUCGAUCCGUCGCAAGACUCCUUGACGAGACCCGUACGUCGUUCUGCACUACGCUACCGAGUAUAAGACAUUUUCCAAGGUGUCAGUCCUCGCCACACGCAUGAACAGAGUAUAGUAUACUGUUUCAUCUAUAGUGAUUCCCACGGGUCCUUUCCUUCCCGCCGCUCUACCACACAGUCCCAACAUCUAUUUUUUCCUUUCAUUAUUAUUAUAUAUUAUCAUUAUUAUUAUUAAGUUUCAUAUGAUAGUUGUAAGUAACAUGUGGCAGUGAUUCUUGGCUUAUUAGAAAUAAUCACAAAAUACUGAUCAUGUAUAUUGUACAAUUUUCAGUGAUAUAUUGCUUCCUUCGACUUUGUGUGAAGAGUUAAAAAUUCAUUUUUUACCAAUGCAUGACCACAGUACAGGUGAAUAAGAUAUGAAGCAGUGUCGAGCAUCUUGAUGGGACAGUAAACGAACGACCUGUUCAGUUUUUUGUGUACAGCAGUGCUUUCCCAGCCUUCCGAGGCCAAGGGGCUAGCACUGGCAGUGGACUUGACUUGUAGAGGCGAAUUCCUGCUGGUGCUGAAGCUGCGGGUUGUCCUGAGCAGACUCAAGGACCUGCCGUUCUUCUCGGGGAUACUGGUAGGACGAGGCGACACCCGCGACCUCGACCAACAUAGGGACAACCAGCCCCCUCUUCCAGGCAGGAGGAAUUGCACCAGACUACCACACAACAGACAGCACUGCAUGCAACCCAUGAAUCAUGGCUUCACCACAGCCAUUCAGUAUCUCUGCGCUGAAAUUACAGAUCCAAGCUGCCUUUCCACCCUUCAACUUCCUUAUAACCUCUCUCACCUCCACAAGAGAGGGUGGAGAUUUGUCUAUUGGUGGAUCAGCAGCCGCUAUCUGCAGCCCAAACAGAGGGAGCUGCCCGCUUGGGGGCUCUGUCAUUUGCACCAACCCAACGUACUCACCCCAACGAGCCUGUUACCAUCUGCAUUUGAUACUAUCUGUCCAUCAGCCAUUCGGAUAGUACUCAUCUGAUAUGUGGAUUUGGAGUGGAGCUUCUUCAGAGCUAGGAAGUCAGGUCUAAGGUUGUUUGCAUUAAGAUAACCCUUGACUUCCUUAUAAGACCUCUGACAUACCUCUCCUUAUCCCACCUCAGAAGGUUUUAGUCUUUUGUGACAGAGUCCUGUAUUGCUCUAAGUCCCGAGUCAGUCUGGCAGCACGACUCUUCUCUAUGUUCUCCAGUGUCACCUUCAAAGCCUUGGACGCUCUCCAGUGCGCUCCUCAGCAGCUUUGAGAGUUUCAUGUUUGAAAGUAUCCCACAACUGUCCAUGGUCCUCCAGAGCACCAAGCACCCCAAACCGAUCUGAGACUGCCUGGUCCCUCAGUUUCUGAAAAUGGAACCCUGGAGGGUUGCAUCUUGAGAUUUUCUUAGACCUGAUGCAUAUCCAUGGUGUUGCAACAAGUCUAUGGUUGGUCACAAAGAACUCAGCACUCUGGACAACCCUUCAUUUCUGAAGGAUCCUCCAACGAGUACCGACAAGGAUGUGAUCAAUCUUCUUUAUCAUACCGCUAGUAUUGCUAUACCAAGUCUCUGGAACCAGGAACCAGCAAACCAGCAAAGUCCAUUCUUUUGGACUUUGCAAAGUUCAGUAGUAAAAUGUUUGUUUCUUGUGCCAGAGCCAUGGGGAUCAACACAUAACUGAUAGUCAACGCUCUGUACCAGCCAUUGCACUGGUCACUCAAGACAAUGAGUCUGUCACGGUGGGGAGGGGGAAGGGGGUUGACUAUAGAGUCAAGCUUGGCAUAGAAUAUCUCUAUGAUAAGAUAACUUACGUUAGUAAAUAGUUAUCAAUAUCAAUAAUAUGCAGGUAGCAGUGAUUAAUACUAUCACUUACUUUAGUGUCAUUAUAUUAAUAAUGUUGCAGACAAGACAGCUCUGUAGACGGCAGCACCAGGAAGUUUUCCUUUCUUACAUCAGACCUAUAGCACUAGUAGGCUUUCCUAAUUGGGCCUGGUGGUCGGUCCAAGCCCGUCAUGGCGCAGGCAAAUGUUUAUAGUGGCACCAUUUAUUCUUGGCUCAUGCUCCCCCCCCUGGAGCUCAUUCUUGAUUUCCCUUGGACAGUCCCUCUUGAGUCUGGAUUGAUGGGUGGUCUUCAAGACAGCAUGAGGGUAGUCUUAGGCCACUUGGCGCCGACUGAAAGUUCCCAGGUGGUAAUGGCAGAUUUGAACCUGCAUCAUCAUGUCCCAUAACGUGGCGAACACGGGACCAGCACACUAACCACUCAGCCACCGCCUCCACAAUUUUAAUCAGUAACCUAAUAAAUUAACAAAACACUAACAGUAUUAAUAAUGUGAAACUCAAAUUCAACUAUAAUUGACAGUAUUCAUCAUUGCUGCCUGCAUAUUAUUGAUAGUGAUAAGUAUUGCCUAUGCAUACAUGUAGUCUUUCAUAUAUUAUCCACUGAAAGACACAGUGUGUGACAUCAGGCUUGCAGACCACUGUAAUGCACACCUUGGACUCAGGCACCAGGAUUGUAAUAGUAGUAUUAGAUAUUAUCUAGUAAUGAUGGUAGAAAUAGCAGUAAUACUUCAUCAGUGGCAGUAUUACCACUUGUGUGGUGUUGUGGUUAGUAUACCUAACUUAGGAUCUGCAGGCUUGGGUUCAAUCCUGUCCCAGGGCAGUUGGCACCUAACUUACCCAGCUGUUCCUCCUUCCUUUCAGGUUGGUUGAUAGCUUGGUAUAUAGGUGCCUGGGGAAGAUUUGUAAGCUUUACUCUAGUAACACUUACCCUGUAGCCAACCUCAGGGUAAUGGGUUCAUAUCCACCACAGGCGUAAGGGCCAAUGAGACAGAGAUGAGGACUGAGGCCAGGCCAUGCUCAAGUAAGUGUAUUUUGCCAACUUCACCUUUAAGUAGUAAAAGUAGUACUUAAAUAUGUAGUAGUGUAGCAGUAGAUUCUGAUGUCAGCCUUCACUCUUUAGUCCUGUUGACUGAUUAUGCUUACCAUGUUAGUAAUUUUACCGUUACCCAGUUUAUAGUGAUGCAUUUGUUGCCAAGUUGUGUAGAUGUCUCAAGUCAAGGUAAUAUAAUCACUUCAUUACAUUUAAAUAAAGUAUUUUAUUUAACAUUUUAAAAAGCAUAAUGUACAGCUAAGUUACAAGAUCCUCUGGGUGAUCAUGAACAUAAAAUGCUGCCCACACCUGCCCGGUGACCCCUACUGGACGCUGUAUCAGCCCCCCACACGGCAACCUUUCCUCACCAAGUUCAAUGCGAGUUGUUUGUAUCACUUAAUAGGAUAUGAAAGCCCCUCUACCUCAGUACAGCACACAGCACACUACUCUGCAGUGCAGCACCCAUGGGCAGCACUGCACCUCUCAGGGCUCACUAACAGUGUCUAGUCAGUGUACAAAACUUAACUAAUUUCUACUUUUACUGAAAAAAAUAAAACUCUUGAGGCUCCACUGACUGCAUAUUGCAUAAUUAAAUAUGACAAGAUUUUUUCUUUUAUAUAGAUAUAAAAGUCAGAUCAAUAAAUGCUCUGUCUUGGAGUAAACACAGACCCUCAGUUGACUUAUGCUCUCAAGAUUAACUUAGUGAUAAUCCUUGUAACUAAAGCUCUCAUACCAGGGAAAAGGGAAAAAUGUACAAAACACUUCUUGAAAGACAAGGAAUAAUGCAAAAUAUACAGUGGAAACAAAGAUUUAAAGUACACAAAACCGGUAGCGUCCUUGCCAGUCUUGGUGACCAACAACGCUACCUGGCAUUUGGCUACAAUAAAUAAAGAAAAAAGCCUCUACAGAUGGAUACAAAACUAGCCCAGAGGAGCCUCUCUCCCCUCCCACC
Long non-coding RNA from Eriocheir sinensis (Chinese mitten crab), 4556 nucleotides. RefSeq lists it as uncharacterized. The record is from RefSeq and is a predicted model, not a curated record. The transcript is spliced from 2 exons. NCBI's taxonomy places the organism in Eukaryota, Metazoa, Arthropoda, Malacostraca, Decapoda, Varunidae.